AUUGAACGCUGGCGGCAUGCCUUACACAUGCAAGUCGAACGGCAGCACGGGAGCAAUCCUGGUGGCGAGUGGCGAACGGGUGAGUAAAGUAUCGGAACGUGCCCAGUCGUGGGGGAUAACGUAGCGAAAGUUACGCUAAUACCGCAUACGAUCUAUGGAUGAAGGCGGGGGAUCGCAAGACCUUGCGCGAUUGGAGCGGCCGAUAUCAGAUUAGGUAGUUGGUGGGGUAAAGGCUCACCAAGGCGACGAUCUGUAGCUGGUCUGAGAGGACGACCAGCCACACUGGGACUGAGACACGGCCCAGACUCCUACGGGAGGCAGCAGUGGGGAAUUUUGGACAAUGGGCGCAAGCCUGAUCCAGCCAUGCCGCGUGCGGGAAGAAGGCCUUCGGGUUGUAAACCGCUUUUGUCAGGGAAGAAACGGCUCCUACUAAUACUGGGGGCUAAUGACGGUACCUGAAGAAUAAGCACCGGCUAACUACGUGCCAGCCGCCGCAGUAA
RNAcentral lists this ribosomal RNA (500 nucleotides) under uncultured bacterium. RNAcentral's name for it is "partial 16S ribosomal RNA". It matches the Rfam family "Bacterial small subunit ribosomal RNA", at positions 29 to 523 of the family's 1533-position model. The record is from RNAcentral.